RNAcentral lists this ribosomal RNA (468 nucleotides) under uncultured bacterium. RNAcentral describes it as "partial 16S ribosomal RNA". It matches the Rfam family "Bacterial small subunit ribosomal RNA", at positions 28 to 507 of the family's 1533-position model. The record is from RNAcentral.
GAUGAACGCUGGCGGCGUGCUUAACACAUGCAAGUCGAACGGAAAGGCCCAAGCUUGCUUGGGUACUCGAGUGGCGAACGGGUGAGUAACACGUGGGUGAUCUGCCCUGCACUUCGGUAUAAGCCUGGGAAACUGGGUCUAAUACCGGAUAGGACGAUGGUUUGGAUGCCAUUGUGGAAAGUUUUUUCGGUGUGGGAUGAGCUCGCGGCCUAUCAGCUUGUUGGUGGGGUAAUGGCCUACCAAGGCGUCGACGGGUAGCCGGCCUGAGAGGGUGUACGGCCACAUUGGGACUGAGAUACGGCCCAGACUCCUACGGGAGGCAGCAGUGGGGAAUAUUGCACAAUGGGCGCAAGCCUGAUGCAGCGACGCCGCGUGGGGGAUGACGGCCUUCGGGUUGUAAACUCCUUUCGCUAGGGACGAAGCGUUUUUGUGACGGUACCUGGAGAAGAAGCACCGGCUAACUACGUG